AUACGUAGGUGGCAAGCGUUGUCCGGAAUUAUUGGGCGUAAAGCGCGCGCAGGCGGUCCUUUAAGUCUGAUGUGAAAGCCCACGGCUCAACCGUGGAGGGUCAUUGGAAACUGGAGGACUUGAGUGCAGAAGAGGAAAGUGGAAUUCCAAGUGUAGCGGUGAAAUGCGUAGAGAUUUGGAGGAAUACCAGUGGCGAAGGUGCCUUUCUGGUCUGUAACUGACGCGGAGGCGCGAAAGUGUGGGGAGCAAACAGGAUUAGAUACCCUGGUAGUCCACGCCGUAAACGAUGAGUGCUAAGUGUUAGGGGGUUUCCGCCCCUUAGUGCUGCAGCUAACGCAUUAAGCACUCCGCCUGGGGAGUACGGUCGCAAGACUGAAACUCAAAUGAAUUGACGGGG
This 397-nucleotide ribosomal RNA is filed under the name uncultured bacterium. Its description in RNAcentral is "partial 16S ribosomal RNA". It matches the Rfam family "Bacterial small subunit ribosomal RNA", at positions 523 to 918 of the family's 1533-position model. The record is from RNAcentral.